This 524-nucleotide ribosomal RNA is filed under the name Pseudomonas sp. PCPTE3. RNAcentral describes it as "bacterial SSU rRNA". It matches the Rfam family "Bacterial small subunit ribosomal RNA", at positions 31 to 528 of the family's 1533-position model. The record is from RNAcentral. Lineage: Bacteria; Pseudomonadati; Pseudomonadota; Gammaproteobacteria; Pseudomonadales; Pseudomonadaceae.
GACCCCUGGCGGCAGGCCUAACACAUGCCAGUCGAGCGGAUGAAGGAGCUUGCUCCUGGAUUCAGCGGCGGACGGGUGAGUAAUGCCUAGGAAUCUGCCUGGUAGUGGGGGAUAACGUCCGGAAACGGGCGCCUAAUACCGCAUACGUCCUGAGGGAGAAAGUGGGGGAUCUUCGGACCUCACGCUAUCAGAUGAGCCUAGGUCGGAUUAGCUAGUUGGUGGGGUAAAGGCCUACCAAGGCGACGAUCCGUAACUGGUCUGAGAGGAUGAUCAGUCACACUGGAACUGAGACACGGUCCAGACUCCUACGGGAGGCAGCAGUGGGGAAUAUUGGACAAUGGGCGAAAGCCUGAUCCAGCCAUGCCGCGUGUGUGAAGAAGGUCUUCGGAUUGUAAAGCACUUUAAGUUGGGAAGGAAGGGCAGUAAGUUAAUACCUUGCUGUUUUGACGUUACCAACAUAAUAUCCCCGGCUACUUCUUCCACUUCCGUGUAUACUAAGGUCUUCGUAAUCGAAUCUGGCUAAG